AUACGUAGGUGGCAAGCGUUGUCCGGAAUUACUGGGUGUAAAGGGCGUGUAGGCGGGAAAGCAAGUCAGAUGUGAAAGCCCAUGGCUUAACUGUGGAACUGCAUCUGAAACUGUUUUUCUUGAGUACUGGAGAGGAAAGUGGAAUUCCUAGUGUAGCGGUGAAAUGCGUAGAGAUUAGGAGGAACACCAGUGGCGAAGGCGGCUUUCUGGACAGUAACUGACGCUGAGGCGCGAAAACGUGGGGAGCAAACAGGAUUAGAUACCCUGGUAGUCCACGCUGUAAACGAUGGAUACUAGGUGUGGGAGGUAUCGACCCCUUCCGUGCCGGAGUUAACACAAUAAGUAUCCCACCUGGGGAGUACGGCCGCAAGGUUGAA
This 377-nucleotide ribosomal RNA is filed under the name uncultured bacterium. RNAcentral describes it as "bacterial SSU rRNA". It matches the Rfam family "Bacterial small subunit ribosomal RNA", at positions 523 to 898 of the family's 1533-position model. The record is from RNAcentral.